CCCGAUAGCUCAGCGGUAGAGUAGGUGACUGUUAAUCACUUGGCCGUAGGUUCGAAUCCUACUCGGGACCA
This 71-nucleotide transfer RNA is filed under the name Sphingomonadales bacterium 32-68-7. Its description in RNAcentral is "tRNA-Asn". It matches the Rfam family "tRNA". Rfam says of the family: Transfer RNA (tRNA) molecules are approximately 80 nucleotides in length. Their secondary structure includes four short double-helical elements and three loops (D, anti-codon, and T loops). Further hydrogen bonds mediate the characteristic L-shaped molecular structure. tRNAs have two regions of fundamental functional importance: the anti-codon, which is responsible for specific mRNA codon recognition, and the 3' end, to which the tRNAs corresponding amino acid is attached (by aminoacyl-tRNA synthetases). tRNAs cope with the degeneracy of the genetic code in two manners: having more than one tRNA (with a specific anti-codon) for a particular amino acid; and 'wobble' base-pairing, i.e. permitting non-standard base-pairing at the 3rd anti-codon position. The record is from RNAcentral. Lineage: Bacteria; Pseudomonadati; Pseudomonadota; Alphaproteobacteria; Sphingomonadales.